This 707-nucleotide ribosomal RNA is filed under the name uncultured Gammaproteobacteria bacterium. Its description in RNAcentral is "bacterial SSU rRNA". It matches the Rfam family "Bacterial small subunit ribosomal RNA", at positions 56 to 795 of the family's 1533-position model. Lineage: Bacteria; Pseudomonadati; Pseudomonadota; Gammaproteobacteria. The record is from RNAcentral.
UGCAAGUCGAACGUGAAAGCACUUCGGUGUGAGUAGAGUGGCGGACGGGUGAGUAACGCGUGGGAAUCUACCCAGUAGUGGGGGACAACUACCGGAAACGGUAGCUAAUACCGCAUACGCCCUAUGGGGAAAGGCUUCGGCCGCUAUUGGAUGAGCCCGCGUCAGAUUAGCUAGUUGGUAGGGUAAAGGCCUACCAAGGCAACGAUCUGUAGCUGGUCUGAGAGGACGAACAGCCACACUGGGACUGAGACACGGCCCAGACUCCUACGGGAGGCAGCAGUGGGGAAUAUUGGACAAUGGGCGAAAGCCUGAUCCAGCAAUGCCGCGUGUGUGAAGAAGGCCUGCGGGUUGUAAAGCACUUUCAGUUGGGAAGAUGAUGACGUUACCAACAGAAGAAGCACCGGCUAAAUCCGUGCCAGCAGCCGCGGUAAUACGGAUGGUGCGAGCGUUAAUCGGAAUUACUGGGCGUAAAGCGCGCGUAGGCGGCUAAGUCAGUCAGAAGUGAAAGCCCCGGGCUCAACCUGGGAAUUGCUUUUGAUACUGCUUAGCUAGAGUUUGGUAGAGGAUAGUGGAAUUCCAGGUGUAGCGGUGAAAUGCGUAGAUAUCUGGAGGAACAUCAGUGGCGAAGGCGACUGUCUGGACCAAAACUGACGCUGAGGUGCGAAAGCGUGGGUAGCAAACAGGAUUAGAUACCCUGGUAGAAGGGC